RNAcentral lists this ribosomal RNA (253 nucleotides) under uncultured bacterium. Its description in RNAcentral is "partial 16S ribosomal RNA". It matches the Rfam family "Bacterial small subunit ribosomal RNA", at positions 524 to 776 of the family's 1533-position model. The record is from RNAcentral.
UACAUGGGGUGCAAACGUUGCUCGGAAUUAUUGGGCGUAAAGCGCGCGUAGGCGGUUACUCAAGUCGGAUGUGAAAGCCCUCGGCUUAACUGAGGAAGUGCACCCGAAACUGAGUAGCUAGAGUACUAAAGAGGGUCGCGGAAUUCCCGGUGUAGCAGUGAAAUGCGUAGAUAUCGUGAGGAAGACCAGUGGCGAAGGCGGAUCUCUGGACAGUUCCUGACACUGAGGCACGAAGGCCAGGGGAGCAAACGGG